GUGUCCUGUCUGCCCUCCUCUGUCAGUCAGUGAUGGUGUGCAGGGUCUCGGACACAGGACACAGAGAAACAUCUGUCCAGAAAAGGGGACGAGUCCAAAGAUGAGGACUCGGUCCUAAAGGCAGGGCAGGACAAC
Molecule: non-coding RNA, 135 nt
Organism: Monopterus albus (swamp eel)
Lineage: Eukaryota; Metazoa; Chordata; Actinopteri; Synbranchiformes; Synbranchidae
Source: Ensembl